RNAcentral lists this ribosomal RNA (253 nucleotides) under uncultured bacterium. RNAcentral's name for it is "partial 16S ribosomal RNA". It matches the Rfam family "Bacterial small subunit ribosomal RNA", at positions 524 to 776 of the family's 1533-position model. The record is from RNAcentral.
UACAGAGGGGGCAAGCGUUGUUCGGAAUUACUGGGCGUAAAGGGCGCGUAGGCGGCCUGCUAAGUCGAACGUGAAAUCCCUGGGCUCAACCCAGGAACUGCGUCCGAUACUGGUUGGCUUGAAUCCGGGAGAGGGAUGUGGAAUUCCAGGUGUAGCGGUGAAAUGCGUAGAUAUCAGGAGGAACACCGGUGGCGAAGGCGCCACUCUGGGCCGAAACUGACGCUGAGGAGCGAAAGCGUGGGUAGCAAACAGG